Molecule: non-coding RNA, 1236 nt
Organism: Sesamum indicum (sesame)
Lineage: Eukaryota; Viridiplantae; Streptophyta; Magnoliopsida; Lamiales; Pedaliaceae
Source: RefSeq, a predicted model, not a curated record
AACAUCCUCUCUUUCUCACUAACGCUAUAAUUCUCUCUCUCUCUCUCGCUCACAACUCUAAACUCUCUCUCUUUCUCUUUCUAAAGAGGCGCAGUUGGGUUGCCGCGAGGCAGAGCUCCAUCGUCGCCAGUUGAAGGAUUUCUUCUCAAUUAGAAUCUGAUGGGGCUUCCCUUCUUAUUUCUUCCCGCUCUUCUUAUUUCUUCCCACUCUUUUUUUUUCUUUCUCGCCAAUUCUUAGAUCUACAUCCUAAAAGGCAAAAUCAUGGCCCCAGACCAACGAUUGCAAGCCCAAUCCAUCUACCAUCGGCGACGAGGAAGGCGAUUGCUGUUUGUCGGCCAAGCAAGAAGCUGAAACAGGGCGCGAAGAGAUGCGAAUAGUAGGAUCGUGGACCAACUCAAAUCCCGGUACAUCCCAAUAACUUUCGGAAUGCACAGGUUCAAAUGACUUAGAAUAUGUAUUCUUAUAAGCCAUUAUAUCGUAAUAAUCCUUCACCAUUAAUGCAGCAUUAAUCAUGUAUGCAGCGCAUACCUUUUGAGCGUGACUGCAAUGAAUACCAAAUUGAGUCCAUUUGUCGCAAGAAUAUUCUCGGUUCGCAAUUUUGACAACAUGGGUGUUGACUCCAUGUCUACUGUGACGUCUUGUAACAACCGAGGCGGACUGUUGGAACUGAUGGUAUUUGGUGACGGUAUGUUCAACAGAAUUUUGAUGCCAACGUGUGAACAUUUUAUGUGCAAAAUCCAUCCACAGUUGGUUGUUGGCCAACAUUACAAUACCUCUCGCUAACUUCUCACGGAAAUGAUGGACACUUCGCUGAAACGUCAUCUCAGCAAUUGCUGUCAACGGUAGGCGGCGAACCCCUUUCAAUACUCCGUUUAUGCAUUCCGACAUAUUUGUCGUCAAAAUUCCACAUCGCCAUCCACCAUCAUGUGAUGCUGUUCAUUUUUCCUUGUCGAUCCUAUCUAACCACUGAAAUGCCUCUAGUGACUGGCUCUUUAUCUCAUCCAUAAUGCGAUUGAAUUUUCUGAUCUGAUAUUCAGAGCCAGCUUUCCAACAAAGAUCCUUCAACACAACAUUUUUGUGUUUACUGUUGAAAUUGGAACACACAUGCCGCAAGCAAUAUCGGUGCAUGUCGUUAGGUGACACGAAAUCCGGAUAUUCACGUACAACUCUUGUGAUUCCAGCAUGGCGGUCAGAAAUAAGGCAGAUACCCCGUCGCCCCCGUAUAGUAUGUCUGCU